UUUACUCACAAGUUUGGAAGGGGGUGUGAAACAUAGGAGAUAGAUUUUUCAAAGUCCACUAAUACUCCUGUUGUUAAGAGAGAAGGGAAUAUGAGCCUACGUUAUCAAAAAAUGUAAUAAAAAAAUUACAACUUCCUUUCACUGCUUGAAAAAAUUAUCCUCAGAAUAGCAGUUCUUGCAACUAGUUCCUAAAGUGAGUCCCUGUUGCUGAGCAGCAGUUCUCUGUUGAAAAAGGACAGGAGUUUCAUUUUAAUCAAUGAGUGUAAUUACAGAGAAAUUAUAUUUUUACUCUUGAAUUUUCAGAUUCAUAGAAUGGCUUGGGUUGGAAAGGACCAAAGGCAUCAUCAAGUUCCACCAUCAAGGGCCACCUACCUCCAGAUAAUUGUUAACAAUAUUGUUCCUCUCCAUCUCUUCCUGGUAAAAAAAAAAACAAACAAAAAACAAAAACAGCCUUGCAAGCAAAAAAUAAAACCAAUGUACCUUAAUAAAUAAUGCUUUGGAAGAGAAGGGGGAAGGGAAGUAGACCAAGUGCAAAAAUAAAUACAAGAUUGUUCCAGGCCUCUCAGCUUAAGCGUGUACAGCACUCAUGGAAAGCAUCAGCUUCAGGAGCUGCAUUUUGAGAAGGCUGAACUCCGCAUCUUCAUCAGAAAUGAAACGUCUCCAAAUGAUUAAAGUCAUCAUCAAUUCUAGAGUGCCUUAUCUUUUAUUAUGAAUGAAAGCAAGCAGCUAGAAGUUGCCCUGGUCUUUCUCAAUGGCCAGAAGGAAUCACAAAGAGAGAAAAGGCUGUCACCGAGUCAGCCUUCAGCCUCAGCUCACAACUGUGAUUACAGAAGUCACACAAGAAUUCAACGCAACUAGAGGCAAGAAAAUAAUUCCCACCAACUCUGAUUAUUUUAAAGUAAGGAUCCAGAAACGCCUCCUACAUUUUGAUUGAAUUUCUCACAUUGGACGUAGGAAAUGGAACAGCACCCUGGAAAUUAUCACAAAAGUUACUUCUUGUUGCAGAUUGCAGCACAACUUUACUCAUUUCUUGCUAUUACAGAACAAUAGUUCAGG
Long non-coding RNA from Gallus gallus (chicken), 1056 nucleotides. The record is from Ensembl. NCBI's taxonomy places the organism in Eukaryota, Metazoa, Chordata, Aves, Galliformes, Phasianidae.